GAUGAACGCUGGCGGCGUGCCUAAUACAUGCAAGUCGAGCGAACAGACGAGGAGCUUGCUCCUCUGACGUUAGCGGCGGACGGGUGAGUAACACGUGGAUAACCUACCUAUAAGACUGGGAUAACUUCGGGAAACCGGAGCUAAUACCGGAUAAUAUAUUGAACCGCAUGGUUCAAUAGUGAAAGACGGUUUUGCUGUCACUUAUAGAUGGAUCCGCGCCGCAUUAGCUAGUUGGUAAGGUAACGGCUUACCAAGGCAACGAUGCGUAGCCGACCUGAGAGGCGGAUAGGCCACCCUGGAACUGAGACACGGUCCAGACUCCUAAGGGAGGCAGCAGUCGGGAAUGUUCCGCAAUGGGCGAAAGCUUGACGGAGAAACGCCGCGUGAGUGGUGAAGGUCUUCGGAUCGGAAAGCUCUGUUAUUAGGGAAGAACAAAUGUGUAAGUAAACAUGGACGUCUUGACGGUAACUAAUCAGAAAGCCACGGCUAACUACGUG
This 497-nucleotide ribosomal RNA is filed under the name uncultured bacterium. RNAcentral's name for it is "partial 16S ribosomal RNA". It matches the Rfam family "Bacterial small subunit ribosomal RNA", at positions 28 to 507 of the family's 1533-position model. The record is from RNAcentral.